Molecule: ribosomal RNA, 253 nt
Filed under: uncultured bacterium
Lineage: Bacteria
Description: partial 16S ribosomal RNA
Rfam family: Bacterial small subunit ribosomal RNA
Source: RNAcentral
UACAGAGGUGGCAAGCGUUGUUCGGAAUUACUGGGCGUAAAGGGCGCGUAGGCGGUUCGUUAAGUCCUGUGUGAAAUCCCCCGGCUCAACUGGGGAACUGCACAGGAAACUAGCGGGCUUGAGUUCGGGAGAGGGAAGCGGAAUUCCGGGUGUAGCGGUGAAAUGCGUAGAUAUCCGGAGGAACACCGGCGGCGAAGGCGGCUUCCUGGACCGACACUGACGCUGAGGCGCGAAAGCUAGGGGAGCAAACGGG